Molecule: transfer RNA, 73 nt
Filed under: Melampsora larici-populina 98AG31
Lineage: Eukaryota; Fungi; Basidiomycota; Pucciniomycetes; Pucciniales; Melampsoraceae
Also listed under: 4 other names
Description: tRNA-Ile (AAT) (tRNA-Ile-AAT-3 1 to 3)
Rfam family: tRNA
About the family: Transfer RNA (tRNA) molecules are approximately 80 nucleotides in length. Their secondary structure includes four short double-helical elements and three loops (D, anti-codon, and T loops). Further hydrogen bonds mediate the characteristic L-shaped molecular structure. tRNAs have two regions of fundamental functional importance: the anti-codon, which is responsible for specific mRNA codon recognition, and the 3' end, to which the tRNAs corresponding amino acid is attached (by aminoacyl-tRNA synthetases). tRNAs cope with the degeneracy of the genetic code in two manners: having more than one tRNA (with a specific anti-codon) for a particular amino acid; and 'wobble' base-pairing, i.e. permitting non-standard base-pairing at the 3rd anti-codon position.
Source: RNAcentral
GGUCGAUUAGCUUAGUUGGUAGAGCGUGGUACUAAUAAUGCCAAGGUCAUGGGUUCGAGCCCCAUAUGGACCA